AAAAUUCUUCGGGGUCGGGUGAAAGUCCCAACCGGCGGUGAAAGUCCGCGACCUGCCUUUUGGCGGCUGAUCCGGUGCAAUUCCGGAACCGACAGUACAGUCUGGAUGAGAGAAGAAAAUG
Ruminococcus sp. DSM 100440 is the source of this 121-nucleotide non-coding RNA. Lineage: Bacteria; Bacillati; Bacillota; Clostridia; Eubacteriales; Oscillospiraceae. The record is from Rfam.